This 254-nucleotide ribosomal RNA is filed under the name uncultured bacterium. RNAcentral describes it as "partial 16S ribosomal RNA". It matches the Rfam family "Bacterial small subunit ribosomal RNA", at positions 524 to 776 of the family's 1533-position model. The record is from RNAcentral.
UACGUAUGUCCCGAGCAUUAUCCGGAAUUAUUGGGCGUAAAGAGCGUGUAUGUGGCUUUAUAAGUCUGUCGUUAAAUCUCACUGCUCAACAGUGAGACCGCGAGCGAUACUGUAGGACUUCGAGGUUUGCAGGGGUGAGCAGAAUUUCCAGAGUAGGGGUGAAAUCCGUUGAUACUGGAAGGAAUACCAAUGGCGAAGGCAGCUCACUGGGCAACACCUGACACUGAGACGCGAAAGCGUGGGGAGCGAACGGG